RNAcentral lists this ribosomal RNA (440 nucleotides) under uncultured bacterium. RNAcentral describes it as "partial 16S ribosomal RNA". It matches the Rfam family "Bacterial small subunit ribosomal RNA", at positions 338 to 795 of the family's 1533-position model. The record is from RNAcentral.
CCUACGGGUGGCAGCAGUGGGGAAUAUUGGUCAAUGGGCGAAACCCUGAACCAGCAACGCCGCGUGAGGGAUGAAGGUUUUCGGAUUGUAAACCCCUUUUUUUAGAGAAGCUAAUGCCGGUAUCUGACGAAUAAGCACCGGUUCACUCAGUGCCAGCAGCCGCGGUAAUCCGGCGGGUGCAAGCGUUACUCGGAAUGAUUGGGCGUAAAUGGCGCGUAGGUGGGAUGGCAAGUCAGAUGUGAAAUCCUAUGGCUUAACCAUAGAAAUGCAGUUGAUACUGUUAUUCUAGAGUAUGGGAGAGGUAGGUGGAAUUCGUGGUGUAGCGGUGAAAUGCGGAGAGAUCAAGAAGAAUACUGAUUGCGAAGGCGGCCUGCUAGAACGUAACUGACGCUGAUGCGCGAAAGCGUGGGGAGCAAACAGGAUUAGAUACCCCAGUAGUC